AGCAUUUCUUGGUACUGGCAUAACAAUAGGCAUUGCCUCUCUUGGGAUCUUUGGUGUCUACAAACCCAAGACGUGGCCUCUCAUUGUGUAUUCAGUUCUAGUAUCUAUAGGGCUGGUGAUCUGCUUAAUUUUUGGUGUGCUGGCGGUGGCGUACAAAUCUGAGGUUAUAGAUGCCCUGAGAGAGUACCCGGCGCCUGAAGCUACAUACGGGUUGAUGGUUGGGAUUAUGUUUGCAAACACUGUUAUAGCG
This is a long non-coding RNA of Engraulis encrasicolus (European anchovy), 250 nucleotides long. RefSeq lists it as uncharacterized. The record is from RefSeq and is a predicted model, not a curated record. NCBI's taxonomy places the organism in Eukaryota, Metazoa, Chordata, Actinopteri, Clupeiformes, Engraulidae. The transcript is spliced from 3 exons.